UACGUAGGGGGCGAGCGUUGUCCGGAUUUACUGGGCGUAAAGAGCGUGUAGGCGGCCAGACAGGUCCGUUGUGAAAACUGGAGGCUCAACCUCGAGACGUCGGUUGAAACCACCUGGCUAGAGUCCGGAAGAGGAGAGUGGAAUUCCUGGUGUAGCGGUGAAAUGCGCAGAUAUCAGGAAGAACACCCGUGGCGAAGGCGGCUCUCUGGGACGGUACUGACGCUGAGACGCGAAAGCGUGGGGAGCGAACAGG
Molecule: ribosomal RNA, 253 nt
Filed under: uncultured bacterium
Lineage: Bacteria
Description: partial 16S ribosomal RNA
Rfam family: Bacterial small subunit ribosomal RNA
Source: RNAcentral